UUCCGCAAUGGACGAAAGUCUGACGGAGCAACGCCGCGUGAGUGAUGACGGCCUUCGGGUUGUAAAGCUCUGUUAAUCGGGACGAAAGGCCUUCUUGCGAAUAGUUAGAAGGAUUGACGGUACCGGAAUAGAAAGCCACGGCUAACUACGUGCCAGCAGCCGCGGUAAUACGUAGGUGGCAAGCGUUGUCCGGAAUUAUUGGGCGUAAAGCGCGCGCAGGCGGAUAGGUCAGUCUGUCUUAAAAGUUCGGGGCUUAACCCCGUGAUGGGAUGGAAACUGCCAAUCUAGAGUAUCGGAGAGGAAAGUGGAAUUCCUAGUGUAGCGGUGAAAUGCGUAGAUAUUAGGAAGAACACCAGUGGCGAAGGCGACUUUCUGGACGAAAACUGACGCUGACGCGCGCCAGCAGGACACGGAUA
RNAcentral lists this ribosomal RNA (416 nucleotides) under Veillonella dispar. Its description in RNAcentral is "bacterial SSU rRNA". It matches the Rfam family "Bacterial small subunit ribosomal RNA", at positions 364 to 772 of the family's 1533-position model. Lineage: Bacteria; Bacillati; Bacillota; Negativicutes; Veillonellales; Veillonellaceae. The record is from RNAcentral.